This 112-nucleotide non-coding RNA is filed under the name uncultured Romboutsia sp. RNAcentral's name for it is "FMN riboswitch (RFN element)". It matches the Rfam family "FMN riboswitch aptamer (RFN element)". Rfam says of the family: The RFN element is a highly conserved domain that is found frequently in the 5'-untranslated regions of prokaryotic mRNAs that encode for flavin mononucleotide (FMN) biosynthesis and transport proteins. This element is a metabolite-dependent riboswitch that directly binds FMN in the absence of proteins. The record is from RNAcentral. Lineage: Bacteria; Bacillati; Bacillota; Clostridia; Peptostreptococcales; Peptostreptococcaceae.
UAUCUUCAGGGCGGGGUGUAAAUCCCCACCGGCGGUAAAGCCCGCGAGCUAAAUUUUAGCAUGAUUUGGUUAAAUUCCAAAGCCGACAGUUAUAGUCUGGAUGAAAGAAGAA